RNAcentral lists this ribosomal RNA (460 nucleotides) under uncultured bacterium. Its description in RNAcentral is "partial 16S ribosomal RNA". It matches the Rfam family "Bacterial small subunit ribosomal RNA", at positions 338 to 795 of the family's 1533-position model. The record is from RNAcentral.
CCUACGGGGGGCAGCAGUGAGGAAUAUUGGUCAAUGGGCUUAUGCCUGAACCAGCCAAGUCGCGUGAGGGAAGACUGCCCUAUGGGUUGUAAACCUCUUUUGUCAGGGAGCAACGCCGGCUACGUGUAGCCGGACUGAGAGUACCUGAAGAAAAAGCAUCGGCUAACUCCGUGCCAGCAGCCGCGGUAAUACGGAGGAUGCGAGCGUUAUCCGGAUUGAUUGGGUUGAAAGGGUGCGUAGGCGGAAUGCCAAGUCAGCGGUAAAAUCGCGGGGCUCAACCUCGCUCCGCCGUUGAAACUGGCGUUCUUGAGUGGGCGAGAAGUAUGCGGAAUGCGUGGUGUAGCGGUGAAAUGCAUAGAUAUCACGCAGAACUCCGAUUGCGAAGGCAGCAUACCGGCGCCCAACUGACGCUGAAGCACGAAAGCGUGGGUAUCGAACAGGAUUAGAUACCCCUGUAGUC